GGUGCGCGAGGGGUGGUGAGUACACGGUGGAGACCGCUGGCGCUAAGUCAGAGGAAGGGGUGGUCGACGGUAGGUCAGUAUGCCCCGAAUAUCCCGGGCUACACGCGGGCUACAAUGGACUGGACAAUGGGUAACGACACCGAAAGGUGAGGUCAAUCUCUUAAACCAGUUCUUAGUCCGGAUUGAGGGCUGUAACUCGCCCUCAUGAAGAUGGAAUCCGUAGUAAUCGCAUUUCAAAACAGUGCGGUGAAUACGUCCCUGCUCCUUGCACAACCUCCUCCCAU
This 284-nucleotide ribosomal RNA is filed under the name uncultured archaeon. RNAcentral describes it as "partial 16S ribosomal RNA". It matches the Rfam family "Archaeal small subunit ribosomal RNA", at positions 1069 to 1343 of the family's 1478-position model. The record is from RNAcentral.